GUAGACUAGACAUUGCUCUCGCUCACAGUGAAAGAAUUUUGUCAAUACGACUUUUACUUUUCAUUUGGGAACGAUUUGUUUCGGCCUGACUUUUCUGUUCAUUUUAAGCAGCAAAAGUGAGGUGCAUGUCUGUGUGCGUGUGUAUGGAGCCCUUGGGUGCGGUCACUAUAGCAACCAGGCUCACACCUGCCUGCUUAACGAGCUCUCUCUCUCACUCUGCCAAGAUUCAUCUUAAACACUUCUCUUUCAACUGCUGCUGUGUCCACAGUGUUAAAGCCAUCAUUUUACCCUCAAAACGUCGCCAUCGUUGUUCUUUUUCCAACAUCUUGUCUUUCAAAGCUCAGAGAUGUAAACUUUUUAAACUGUGUGGGUCCAAGUGGAGGGAUCACAUUUGAGUCAUUCAGUGAUUCAAAGAAUAUGACCUUUUAAUAUUCUUUCAGAUGUUUUCUGACUCUAAAUGUUCUUUUCUCAUUUCUUAGGGUUUUCUAAUUUACAUUUAAAACAUUUUCAGUUUUUUUCCAACUCCUUCUUCUGUGUAACCUUCAGCUUUUAGCAGUUCAGCACCUUUGUUUUCAGGUUAAAUUCGUUUUUUUUUUGUUUUUUUUUAAUCUCAUUCAAUAUUUUUAACUCAAAAUUCAGCAAUUAAUUCAUUUCAGUGCAUACAUUCAGAUUCAAGCAUUCACACUGCAGUUUCUUCAGAAAAUGCACUUUCUAGUUCUAUUUUAUUAUUAUGGAUUCCGUACGUUUUUUGUACUCUAUCUCCUUCAAAACCGUUCAACUUAGAAAAACCAUUCAAACACCAUUAGAUUCCUAUUCUUUUGGACAUGACUGCUUCUAUUUUUCUCAUUUUUAACAUUUAUAUUUUUAAUUUUAUUCAACUUUUUUCAACAAAAAUUUCCCAUGUAUUUCAAUGGGGAGACCCUUCAAAUUCUCAUUCAACUUCCUCCUCUUUAAACUGUAUCUACUUCCACAUACAUUGACAUAGAGCCACC
Molecule: long non-coding RNA, 992 nt
Organism: Astatotilapia calliptera (eastern happy)
Lineage: Eukaryota; Metazoa; Chordata; Actinopteri; Cichliformes; Cichlidae
Source: Ensembl